AAAAAAUACAAACCCUGGUUUCCGUGUCCAACGUUUGAUCGUCCGUCUUAUUUGAAAAAAUUAUGAAAAAAAUUAAAAAGACAAGUCACGUAUAAAAUAUUAAUCAUGUUUUAUCAUCUAACAACAAUAAAAAUACAAAUUAUAAAAAAAUUUCAUAUAAGACGGACAGUUAAAGUUGGACACGGAAACCCAGAGUUUGCAUUUUUU
Molecule: microRNA precursor, 207 nt
Filed under: Oryza sativa Japonica Group (Japanese rice)
Lineage: Eukaryota; Viridiplantae; Streptophyta; Magnoliopsida; Poales; Poaceae
Description: MIR812 microRNA precursor family
Rfam family: MIR812 microRNA precursor family
Source: Rfam by way of RNAcentral